This 22032-nucleotide long non-coding RNA is filed under the name Gallus gallus (chicken). The record is from RNAcentral. Lineage: Eukaryota; Metazoa; Chordata; Aves; Galliformes; Phasianidae.
CGCGGCCGGCCCCGGGGCUGCUCGCUCGGGGCCGUUGCGGAGCGGGCGGGCCCCCUCGGUGCGCCGGCGUCCCGUCCCCGCUCCUUGCUGGGAUCAGCAGCGCGAGGUGCCCGCUCGUUCACCCUCUGCCAGAGGCGCAGUUUACAGAAGCUCUCUGGCUGCGAGCGGUGCCAGGCCCUGCUGAGGGCCAGGGUUUCCCAAAUAAGGCGCCGAGCGUGCCGUGUUCCGUUGGAACCCCGCUAGGCUGCCCUGGCCCCGGGCCGCGCCGAGGUAACGCCGCGGCCUUUUAAGGAGUCGGCAGCACGAGGGGGUGAUGGACGAUCGUGCUCUUAGGAAGGAGCCUCAGCGGUGAGAAAGAUGAAGCUAUAGUGGAGAUUACAGUAAAGAAGUAUAAGUAAUUAAGUUGUAAGGAAAAAUAUACCCCACUCUACUGAUGUAAAUUUGGAAUAUUUUGAGCAACACUGUUCUUCUGACACCUCUGCAAAGCCUUACAACGCACCUGCUAGAAUGAAGCUGGCACCAAGCCGCACAUACUGACAUGACCCUUUCCCAUUCACAUUCAGCCAGCCAGCCCGCAGGACAGGGUCGGCUGUGCAGCUGCAGAAGUCCUUUUCCAGCCAACGUGCCCACGUUGUGGCUUCUGCCACAGAACCACUGUCUCUGUGGAAAGAACAAUCAUCCUUGUUCAUGCUUUUGGAGAUGCUUCUUAAAUAUGUGUCAAAACCGAAUUGCUCAGGACACUGAACAGCCAUCAAGUCAGGAUGUUGUCAGUGAUGUGGGAACAAUGGCAACUUUGAAAUCCCAAGCGAAAAAAAUGCUGUGUGGCUGAGAGGCUCGUAUUAACUUUGUAGGGGGGCAGAACUCCCGGCUCUUUCUACAAGCCUGCUGCUGUGUUGCCAUCAGCAUCUUGAUCAGCACAGGGACAUCCUGGCCUGCUCAGCACAGCCACCGGGGCUGUGGGUGAAGACAUGGUGUGAAGCUCUCUGCCAGGCUGGCUUUGCAGGGUGCGUGGUAUUUUCCUGUCAGCUGGAUGUGAUUGUUUGCAUGGAGCCUUUGCUGAGAAGCCUUGGGAGGGAGAGAACAGAACUGAAAUGCACUUUUCAUCAACUCUGCACAUUCAUAUACAUCUGUGUACUCAGAAAAAUACCCAAUGGUUUAUGCUGCCAACAAAAACAGCUGUAUAUAAUGAGUAGCCAGUCCUUCCUAUAUACUACUCCAAUAUACUGCUCCCACAUGACCUACAGCAUAAAAAAUAUUUGUAGAAAGGACUUGGCAAAUAAUUUUCAGAAGUUAAUACAUCUGAAAAAAGGUAUGACAAAAUUUAACAAAACAAAAAUUGAAAUUAAUUAUUGGAUUUUACUUGAGGAAUUCUCUCCUUCAGAAAUUUAAGUUCACUGCUGUUCUAUUUUCCAAUCUUAUAUAUCAAUAGUAUAAUUCAUAAAUAGAGAUUUGAUUAUUCUGGUAUUCUUUUUUUAUCAUCUGUGGAAGAGUGGGUUUCAUUUUUAUGUUAUUUCUAGUGUAGAAGGAAUUUAUAUGUAUGUCUCUGGCUGUAUGUGUAUGCUCACAGAUAGUUAUUUUCCUUAUUUACAUUUACAAGAGAACUCUUCACAAUGUCUUUUGAAAGGCACUCAAAUUCUAUUAUUGCCUGUUUUGUUAGCUUAUUUAUGUACUGAAAUAGUUGAAGGAGGGAGCAGAUUUUCUUUAAAGAGACCGUACUUCUUUGAACAGUUGGCACUUUCUAUCUCAGUGUUGCACUGUGCUGCCCUUAAUAACUUCUCAAUAGUUUCCCACUAAAAUGUUUGUGAUUAUUAUAAAUGAAUGAUUUAUUACAGGUUGCAGUUACUUACUAUGGUCAGGUAUUGCAUGCAAUAUAUCUUUAGUUGACUGAAGCAAUGUACGCUGACACAAACUUUAUCCAAGUACACAUAUCUGUCUGACCUUUUUAUAACACAAAUCAAGGUAACAUUAGAAGCAAGAUUCAGAGAUUUAGGGAAAAAAAAAUAAGAAAGGAAUGGUAAAAGGUGGUAUGGAUUAUUUAAAACAAAAUGGGUUAUUUAAAACAAACAAACAAAUAUAUCCUGCCAGCACGAUGCUUCGAGGAGCAUAAUUAAUUUUUUUCUCUAAAAAGUUGCGAAAUAGUUUUGUCUGAUUUGAAGCAGCAUAUUUAGAAAUGCCUGGAUUUUACCUUGUGCUUCAGGUACCUUCUGUACCUGACUUACGGAUGAAGUGGGAAUCACUCAACUUUACCCACUAGGAGUUAUUGUAAUUAGUCAUUGACAAUUUCUUUGUCCUCAGGCUUAAAAAAUAGAUAUUGGGAUGGUGCCUCCCACUCACUUACUUUGGCCAGUGGUUACUUAAGGCCCAGUGACUCUGUUUCUUGCUGUAUGUGUGCUGUAAGUUAGUAUCAUGAAAGGGUCUUGAUUAUCUGUCAGCAGUUCAUGCAGCUAUUCCUUCUGAACCUUCAAUCAACAUAAAGCAUGAUCUAAGUAUAAUGGUCUGUGGUGAGUUUUUUGUUAUAUUUUGUUUUCAGUAAUUUAGGAUUAGGUCAGAUUCUGUGAAAGAUGAUGUACAAAUUAGACCAAAAAAUCAGUUUCUAAUUUUUGACAGGAAAAGACUACUUCACCACCGACAAUUUUGUUUCAUAUUAUUUUCACUUGACUAUAUCGUCCAAUAUCUGACACAUCAUAUUGGAUUUUCAGAUUUAGCUCAAGUUAGCUCCACUUUGAGAAUCUGUCCAAAGCUCCCUGCAUUUGCUCUUAAUCUCUAGGGAUACUUUAGGGAAUUCACGAUUCAGAUGGCUCUGUUCCUGACCUAUUAUUAUUAUUUGUGUAUCUUGUUUUACCUUUUUGAAAAUAGCCGUUGGCUAAAGCUUUUAGGCACAUCCUUCAGUGCUAAAAUAGCCUGAAGAUUUCAAGCAUUGCUAAAUUGCAUAGAUGUUGAGAUGAACAGGGAUUAGUAUAGUUCAGCCUUGACUGUAUAGGUCGAUGAAGAUUAUGUAUUGGUAGAGUAACAAACCAUAAAUAUACAUCCUUUGGUCAAAUCACAAUGCAGCUUAUGUAGACAACAACUCAGCAGUACUUUUUCCCAUUAGUAAACCACUGACCUUAGCCUCACUCUUAUGGUACCACCAUUCUCCAGUGUGGUAACGUAAUUCUAACUGGUACACAGCAUCUAUGCAGUACUGUGACUUUACCAAACGAAUGUACAAGCAUUUGUGUCUUGGAAUUCUUGGCCACUCCGCUUUCUAAAAGUAUCAAUAACUUUAUCUAUGAUAGCAGAUAGACAAUGAAUAUCUGUACUUAAGUAGUUGGACCAAAAAAUGCUGCGUCUAUUUCUAUAAAUCUCUAAAGUACACUGUUAAGUAGUUGCUACUAUAGUGUAAUCCUCUUGUAAUUGUAGUGCUUGCUGAAGGAAUGCAAAUUUUGCAGUUUAUAAGCAAAAUAAAAAACAGAGUGAGUACAGAUCAAUAGCUAAGAUGUAGAGACCUGAAUUCUGGAGUUGAUGCCGUGUACUGAUGCAUGAUCUCUCCCAUACUGCUCCAUGAAAUAUGCAUCUAUCUGGUUGCUGCUCUGCAGGAUGUUUUAAGCAUUAUAUGUCAGUAAAGCUUGUUGUUUGGAAUGUGUUUCAUAUCAACAGCAGCUGUAAUUUUGUUCAUUUUUCAGCAGUAGUCAGGAUUUAGGAACAUUAUCUCCUUUAGAGUUGGAUAACAAAUCCAUAGGGAGAAGGCAUUUUUACCUAUCUCAGAAGAUUGUUAUAUCUAGAUUUAUUACUGUCUGCAAAGAAAUGUGAGAUCUUGCAGGAGCAUCCUCUAGAAAUUUGAAUUUUCAGAACAUGUUUUGGCUAUUUUUCCACUUCUGAAUCAGUGCCCAAACCUUUCUCCUUCUUUUGAGAGUCUGUUUUCAUUGCUGCACCUGUCAAUCUCUUUGUUUUCCCUCAAAAUAAUGUGAUAAACUAAGAAAUCUUAAACCUUUCAGUUGCUGAAGUAUCUUCUUAGACAUGAAACUUUGCAAUGCCUGUUACUGCUUGGGUUAAGAAGAGGGGCAUUGUUGCUUAGAGAGCUCCCAUAAAUACUGUGUUGAAGCAUCUCAUAAAGAAAAAAUGCAUACUGGGAAAAAAUCAACAGUGAUUCAUUGAUUUCUCAAUACACUUCUGGACUGUCUGUUUUCAGCUUCUAAAUGAAUCAAUAUACAGUAAAGUUCCAAUCAUGAAGAAUAGCUACUGGUAUGCAGCAGCACAUCUUGUGGUUAUGACAAGGGAUGGAAGUUGAAUUGAGCUGUGUUCCUGUUGCUCAUUAAGCCAUGGACUCACUCCAUGGUCUUAGGAAAGCCACUUUGCUUCUUUGGCUCCUCAAUUCCUUCGUCCACCUUUUCUAGCUAAGACUGUGUGACCGAGUUAUCAGGGACUGUCUUUUGUCUUGUGACCUUUUGUCCUGCAGUGCCCAACUGAAUAGUCCACUGGACCCUUUGUAUCUGUGUAGAUCCCUCUUAUUGUGUCCAUUGCUGCUGUCCUCUAUGGGAGUUUCUAAGAUCAGAACACACCACAUAGCUUAGUGUUGAUGGGAUGUAUGUGGUCACCAGUCUCCUUCUUCCUGUAGCUAUUUCAGUCUCUUGAGUUCAGCUUUUGAUGAAAAAUAAGUUUAUCAAGUGUCUUUGUAGUCUAAAUUUUCCUCCUACAUUGAGGCUAAAUACAGCCUCAAACUAAUUAGUUUAGAUGUUUGGGUAGCUUAAGCCUAACCAUUCCCCUGAGUACAUCCCAUUUUGAAAUCAAUUUCAUAUGCAUAAAAGAUGUGAAAUGCUGUUGUGCAUCACUAGUUAUGUUGGUGGCAGUCCAACUGGAUGGCACUGGGGUGAAAUGGAUCAGCUUUGUGGCACUGCUUUAGGUUAGAGUUGUGGGUGAGCUCUGGCUACACCAUGUGGCUUUUGUAGUAUCUGCUAUAAAUAAACAACGAGCAGAGACGAUUUGUAGGUGGUAUUAGACAUCAGUUUUCCUGUAAUUGGAAUCCUGGAAAUGUUUACAACAGUGCUGCAAACACUUAUAUUGAAGAAUAGCCAGCUUUGCUGGAGAGUCUUCUCAUCUGCAGUACAUGCAGCAGAUAUUUCCCAGCUGGGUCAUGGUUAGGAAAAAAAUGUGACAUAGAAGUAGGGUAGUAUGUUCACUUUCACUAUUACGUUGGUUGCAAUAUAGAGGAGCAGGAGGGAAAAACAAAUUGCUUGGUGGAGUUAUCAGGCAGAUUAAUUCCUUGGCUUGACCACUUUUGCUGAAGUGCUUUCGCAGUGUUUGAAAAGCUACAGUCUGUGGUGAAUAAGUGAAAGGUCUUUGCAAAGAAGUAAUCAAACAAAAAGCCCACAGUUGAUCAGUUCUUGGUCACAUUUCAAACAAUCAAAAACACAGAGUGUAGGUUUUCAUCUGAUCUGGCAGUGCCUGGGUUUGCCCUGGCCAAUCUCUCUGAAACAAACAGCAGAAUCAAGGCCAGCAGUGAUCAACAGGAAAACUACAACUUUUAAAGAAAUGAAGAAUCCUGUAUAUUAUGUGUGGAGAGCACCGUUUGCCUUUUGGUAGACAAAUGCAUUGAGGGAUUACUUUCACCUGUAUACCACUGUACUGCCACUCAUUUUGCUAUUAAAUUGCUUGGAGAAGAACUUUCAGGUGUGUGAAUAGACUUCAUGAUGGAAUCCUAGAUAUUUCCAAGCUCAGAUACAUAUUUAUUUACCAAGAUUGGCAGUAGUAUGUAGCUUUGUGCAGACACAGAGGACCUGGUGAUCAAAACCUAGGUGUUGUGGUUUCUUGUGAGCAUUUUCCAGCAUGUUUUAUUGAUGUGCGUACUUUUCAAUGUACUCAGUAUUUUUCUUGGGAAUAAACAGAAAACAAAAACAAACAAACAAACAAACAAAAACCUGCUAUGAGUGUCAGUUGUCUACAAAAAGACAUAACUAAUUAGUUGACCACUCAGCCCCGGAAUGUAAUGCAGUUCCCCAGAGCUUGCAUUUCAGUAUUGUGCUCAAGCAUUUCAUUCUGUGCACUCACAUAUCUUCCCUUCUGCUGCUGCAAAGGUGCAACCUUAUUAAAAAUACACUUGAUGCUCCUGGAUACCUCAGUGGGAUUUUGUGUAGAAGAGUGAGUCAAAACCUUCACCUCAAGUGCUGGGAGACAGGUCUACCUCUUCAUAAAAUUUAAAGCUGGCAGAGACAAUGAAAAUGUUUAUUCCAACCAAGACUAGUACAUAACGCACAGUUUCUUAUGACCUUUCUAGUAUCUUUGGCUAAGAAGUUCUUGAUCUCAGAAAAACUCCAGCAGACAUCGGGUAUAAACCUUUUCCUUUGUAGCUGGUUCCAGCAGUUAGUCACCCUUUUCAUUUGAAGUGGCCUCCACCACUACUUACCCAUUUGUUUAGUUACAGUUUGUUUUGCUUUUCUGCAAGUAAGGAGGGUGAGUUGUUUUUGUUUUGUUUUGUUUUGCUGGCUUUUUUGUUUGUUUGAUUGCUUUUAAUUACACAGUUGUUGCUUUUUCUAUGGAAAGAAUAAUAGAAUUGAUUUAUAUUUAUGUAAUUUUUAAACAGGUUUUUUCCCUCCAGAAAUUCCGUUUUGUCAGCUGAAAAAGCAGAAUGAUUUUUUCAAACUAUUAACAAGCUAUAAAAUGCUGGCUUGUGUUGCACUAUUGAAAUUUAGGCUCUUCUCACUGUCCUCCCUGGAUUUUGGUAAAAGAGAUGUUUUAGACAGAAUAGCAAACUAGAUGCUCUAAAGCUUCUUUUAGGAAGACGUUCUCAAGUUGCACUUAAACCUUUUCAAUCAUUUUUGUUCUUCAUGAUAUAAUCUUUGAUUCUGCAGAAUUUUUCAUAUACUUAUUUCGUAUGUAUAUGAAGAAAGAAGUAAAACAAAGCCUGCCUGGAAACAUUCCAACAGAGAACUGCUAUAAGAUGUCUGUCCUGAGGCUCUAGGGUACAAAUUACUGCUGCACACCCUAGAAGCACUAGGGGCAAGAUGAUUGCUAUGGAAGGCCCUAAUGGGACACUCGUCCAGAUUUCCUAAACUGUCUGGCUGAACCAGGAUUUUGGCUAGCUCUUCUAACUAUUGGCUCUUAACAAAUUACUUGAGGUAGUUUGUUGAUUUGGUUAUUUAACUGGUUGGGGCAGGAAUACUGGAAAAUGUAAUGCAAGGGGAAGAACGACAGCACAGCUGUGCAAACAACACUAAGAUGUUCCUCAUGGCCCGUCCUCACUGAUUAAUAUCCCCUCCUCUUCACAGUUAGGGAACGUAGUAAGUUGUACACGUAUAAUGUGCAGAAAUAUAUAUAGUUCUGAUGUGGCUUAUUGUGAGCAUAAUUUAUUAAAGAUAAUUGAAGAGCACACUGAGGCUUGCUCUGUUACAGUCUUCAGGGUAUCAGCAGUAGUUUGAGGGCCCAAGAGGAUUUUAAACUAUGAUCAGCAUGACACAUGCCAGUAGGUGUAUCUUAAACAGAAGAACUGCCAUAGGGCUAUUUUUAGUGUGGCUAUCGGAUGGCUUAGGAUGGAAAAUUGCAGAGCUCUAUUUCAAAAGAUUCUAUGAAGCCAGAGAGGAUGAUCUCAAAAUAUAAGCAGUAUUAAGACUGUAACAAGCGUGAAUACAUUGUCAGAAAGAUGAAGGACAAUUCUUGAUAGUCAUGCAGGAGUGGGAAAGGGGAAGGGGAAGAUACUUUCCCCAGACUGUGGUAAUACAGUUUUGUUUCAGUGUUUGUUUGUUUGUUUUCCUUAUUGUUCACGGGGCUCAGUCCUAAUACCUUCCUAUUUACACCUGCACCAUGUAAUUCCCUCCAAGUUUAAAGCCUUUUCUGUACCAAGUUGGUAUGUUACUGUUGCAUAGAGUUCAAAGCUAGCAGCUGUAUAUUUUUAUAAUCAUUUAUACAGUUAAUGGCAAUCCUUGCACAGGAUUAUCUUCACUAACUGUGCAAAUAAAUGGAUGCCAUUUUAUUCUUCUUGUCUUAUGCAUAUUUUGAUCAGUAAAACAGGUUACUACUACUAAUGUAUGUGUAAGGCAAAAAAAAAGUCAGUAGAAGGUGCAUAAGAUAACUGAGACAUUCACUUGAAAAAUAGCAUUCAUAUACAAUAUACAAAUGCAUAGACACGUUGUGUAACUACACUGUAUUACAUGCUACUGAAGAAGUGUAUGCUGAAGAUUGUAAUGGGAGAACUAACUAUGCUUCAGAGCAUGACAUGUGGCUCCACGUUCUUAAUUUUAGUAGUAUCUAAUCUCUCUGUGGCAGUAAUGUCCCAGCUCGGUUUCCACAGUCAGGUGUAACUUCUUGUUAAUGUGUGGGCUGACUACAUGAGAGUAGGAAAAAACUAAAGAGGCUUAUUUGAAAUUCUUUCCCAAACUCAUGUAAAAGCACAUGUGAGGAUUCUUGCUUAGAAUUAAGAAAAAUGUCAGGUAAUUUGAGGGUAGAAAUUAAGUACUCCCUUGAUUCAUCAUUGCUGUGUAAUUGGCUGUGUUUUCUAGAAAAUGUUGUUGGUUUUCUGAGAUUUUUCUUCCAGUCUUGGAUGUGGAGAAAAAAUAUUGUUCCUUCUUAUUUGAAGACAUGGCCUUAAUAACUGAGAGACUGCUCAAGUGUAGUUCUGCAUAGAAGUUUAAUAGCUCAGCUGCAAUUCCUACAGUUUGCAGGCAGCAGUGUGGAAGGUUGCAGGCGGGUUAGGCUGUGGAGCAUCUGAACUCUAGUUCAUUAUAAAUAUUAUAUUAGUCAGAGCAUUAAGAGGGGUGAAAGGAAUGCAACUUUUUUUCCUAGCUGAGUUCUCUCUGAAAAUUGUACAUUUUGAAAGAUGGUAACGUGAUCUCCAUUUCCUGUCCAAAAUCUUUUACUGUGCUUCCUUGCUGAAAUCUCUGGCUCUUUCCUGUUUCUCAGUGUGCUGUGCACAGCGACUGUAUUUGUAAGUUUGCCAUUCCCUACCCUGAAGACUUUCUUGAUUAAAUGUUAGCACUUUUUUGUUGCCUAAUUUUCUUCCCUCUCCUUUGGCAGCUUUCCUCAGCUCCUGGCAGUUUCAGUUCUUUGUCCAGGCUGUGCAGUAAGAGAUAUUCUCAUUCUGGGUACAUUUCUCAGAAAGGACAACUUUUGUUGCCUCUCACAGAAGCCUCAUAGAAAUGUGCACAAUGUUUCCUUUUCAACCAGCAGCCUAUGUAAAUCUGUAGGACCCAAAGAAGGCUUCCUGCUAUCGAACUGUAGCAGAGGUGAAAUAUCUCUUUCAGCUCAACCUUCCAUUACAUACCAUAUUCAGCAAUUAAUUACUGAUUUAUUGCUGCUACACUGAGGACUGUUGAUAUGUUUUUUGGGUUUUUUUUUGUUUUGUUUUGUUUUUCCAGAUGCACUGUGCUGUGCUGCAGUCUUUAACGGCAGACAUUAGAUGACCUGAUUAAUGGAAUUAUGACAAAUAUAAAGUGCCUUUUGUACCUAACUAGUAGUAGGAUCAGUACUGACAUCAAUUUAAAUGAUAAUUUAUUAAGGAUAGGAUUAGUAAGAGCUCACUUUAGGAGUGAAGUUAGAAUGUUGCUCAAAAUCUCACCCAGAUCUCCCGUGACUUUUCUUCAGUUUGUCCUUAUGUUGUUGCACUCCAUUGGCCAUUCAGUAAUGGUUAAGGUUACAUGCUUGGAAUAAGGUUCUGAAUUAGAGCUGAUUUUUUUCAAAAAAUAGAUGUUACAAGUACUUACUACUGCCUUGCAGCUUUUAAGCUGCCUUAAAGACAGAAGUGCACCGCAUCUACAAUAGCAGCUGCUGUUUUCUCUUGUUCUAAGCAUGCAUUCUAUAGUGAUAUAUUCCUCUCACUGUGUGUAUCCAGUUUCCAAGUGAGCUGCUGAAGACUUAUCUCAAGGGGAGAUCUGUCCUGCUUCCCUGGGCCUUUCUUGACUAGAAAUCCAAGUGGAUUUUGAACACAAACAUCAGAAAUUCUGUUGCAGGAAUUCUUACCCCUCUAACGGGGUUGAAGUUUAGUUUGAAUUUUAAUAUUAUCCUAUUAGAUGCUAGCAUCUAAUAUGAAUAUUAGGUGGCUCUAAAAAAUAAAUAGCAUCUUCUUCCUUAUGGACAAGAUCAGUAAAGGUGAGUCAUUCUGAUAAAUAACUUCUAUCUAGUAACCUGGCUGCGCUACCAAUGUCCUUUUUUCCUUUCCUUCCUUCUCGCAGAUCAGUGAGACUCUCAUUUGAUACAGAUGAUAAGUAAAUGGCCCUUAAACUUUCACUACUAGGACUGUAGAGCUUCAAUUCAUAAACUUCAAACAAAUUUUAAAAGCCAACGAUAAAAUGAUUUUGGAGUUGAACUCAGGAUUAGAAGUAAUAAAUUCCAAAUGCAAGGUAUAACCAUGAAUGGGGAAAUAGGUUAGUUUUUUGUUGUUGUUGUUGUUUGUUUUUUGCUUUUUGUAUUUUAAAAUUAGGGAGAGGUAAAUCUGUUUUGGCAAGCAAUGACUGAAGCGCAGAAUUCAAGGCAAAUGACUGCAAAUACUUGAGGUACACAAACAGUGGUGAGUGAAGGGGGAUAAACAAACGAUACAAUGGAGAUUGACAGCUUGCAAAGGAAAGUUGAGCUGUUAUGCUCUGCUGAUACUGAACUGCAUUAGGCUGCAAACUGGGAGAUGGUAGAAUUGCUUCUUCAGAUGCAUAAUUAGCUUGGCCAGAGCACAUGAAAAUGUACAGUUGGGAUCAGUCUUGCUUUGGCCUGGAAUGUAACUAGCUGAAUCCAUGAUUAUUUUUUUCCUUGUUUCUAGAAUCUAUGAUGUCACUCUUGUGAGAACAUUUUAUGAUAGAAAAAAUAGAUAAAAUUCUUCCUCUGAUAUUUCUGUAAGGUUCUGCAGGGAUGGAAAGUCACUGUGCUGAGCUGUCAGAGUCCUGGAGAGUAAAACCUCCUUCUGCUAUGCAUCAUAGGCAAGGGCAGGCCAUGUGUGGGCUGAGAUGGUAAUUAGUUUUUAUAGCAUGUCUAUCUGUGGGUCUUUUUACAAUCUAUUGCCAGAAUAUACUAUUUUAAGAGGUGAGCAUAUGCCUGUUGAGGAUUGAUGUGAGAUCACCAGCUAGGGUCUUGCACGCCACCAAACAGCUGUCAGGAGAGAACACUGGGCUCCAGUCCCACACUGAAUUCCAUGCAGGCAGCCCCUGCACCCCUGCUUGUGGAUCCGCCCCUGCAGAGCUCGACGAGGGAUUCAAGCAGGCAUCAGGUUGUUCCCAGCAGCUGUUUUUCAUUGUGUGUGAAGGGAGAGGGCCCAUCUCUGAAGCAGGAUAUGGGCUGGUGACCUAAUGGUGAAAUAUAUUUUUUCCAGUGUCUUUGGAAAUGCCAGAAAGAGACGAUGGUGUUUCUGUAUACUUGCUUAAAUUUGCACUUUGAGUUAAACUCCCACAUGUCAAGCUUGGAGAGUACUAUCCUGAAGAACAAUGCACUGCUUGCUGCUCUGCUUUGCCUACGUCUUUGUCUCCCCAUCACAGGAGCUGUGUACCUCCAGCACAGAGCAUUCUCUGGGGUAAGAAUAACACAGAAUAGCCAAAAGAGGACAGAGCAGCCUUCACCCCAGUGCUACACAGCUGGGGCUCCUUGCCUGCUGCAACCCACUGGGCUGCAGCUCCUGUGAAAGACAGCUGCCUUCAUCCCCUCCUGCUGUUCUGCCACAUGUACUGCACAGAAUUCCUCCUGAGAGUCUUGCGUGCUGUGGGAUUCUGUAAGUUAUUCAAAAACCCUGUUUUGUAACUCAGUUUCAUGUGCAGAGAGCAGAUAUAUUUCAAGAUUGUGUCCUACACUAGGGAAAAUUUAACAAUUUCUUUGCCACCUUUAGAGUGCUCCGAAGUUACUGCCUGACCAGAGAGCAACAGAAAUGUGUAUGAGGGACUGAGAAUCCCAGUUUCAGUGGUGAUUUCAGGAGGUGUUUGGAGGAAGUGAGACCCCUACCAGGUCUUCAGCGUCUCUUAUCAGGUGAUAAAAGCCAGGUUGAAAAUCUAGCCUGAUCUCUACUGAUUUCAUAGACUGCCACCCAGCCCUUCAGAUGAGUGUCUAAACUGCAUCUCCUCUUGAGCAGAUAUUGAAAGCAUGGAACUAUGCAUCUCCCAAACUUUGUCCUUUAUGCUUGUCUUUAUAGUUUCCAUGCUCUUAGUCUUGUCCUCUCUUUAAGAAGAUCCUCUCAAAACAAAGUAUAUUAAGAGAAGACUUCUGAAAACGUUAAUUCUUUUGAAAACACUAUUUCAUCUGCAAUAUAGCAGAGAAACAGAUUUAUGGUAAAUUGCUGGACGUGCUCAACUCUACGUAACUCAGAACUUCCAGAAAAUUUAUCUAUAGGAUUUUCUUGAACAAAUGAAAACACGUUUUAACUAGGGAAAUUAAGUAAUUUCCUCCUUGCUGUGAUACCACUUUAUUAAUUGCUCUGUAUAAAAUCUGGCUAGAUAUAAAGCUAAAUAGGCUAUCAGAAUAAUUUCAAAUGAGACAAUGGAAAAUCAAAUAUUUUCCUGUGAGCUAAAUUCAGUUUUGUUUUGACUUGGCUUUGUUUUCCCCUAAAUAAACAGGGUGUGAACUCCAGCCAAUUUUCCUUUUGAUUUUAACUGCUACUCUGGAAUCUCUUCCUAGGAGCUAACUAGUCAAAGGAUACCUCCUGCUAUAAGAUAUGGUUUGUAUGUACUUGUUCGCUGAGGAUGUAGGGUUUUUCAUUUCUAGCCUUGUGAUAACUAACACUGCUCACGUUAUUUGUGAGAAUUAUUAUUUUAGGACAGGUAUCAGUGACUGGAGUGUUGUUUGUGUAGCAGUGGUAUUGUUGUCCCUAUGAACUGGGACUGCUGGGUCCCACACAGAGCUGACCUACAGCAGGACAAAUUACCUGCUGAAGGAAUUUAUGCUACAAAAACGUAAAGGAUGGAUGAUGUUUCUGAGUGAUCAGGGCUUUGCGUGGGUUGAGGAGCAGCCAGCCACUUCGAGUGCAGGUGGAGCAGUGGAAAAGGAGAAGUGAUGCCAGGUUUUAAAAACUGGUUCAGAAACUACUGCCUGAGUACCUCUGGGCAUGUUAGAAAUUAUGUGUCUCCGCUGAGUCUCUGGUGACUUGUUGCUACAAACUCAGCAAGUGUUAGUGGAACUACUCUGACACUGAGAAAAUCACCACAGCUGACCAGUGGCAAAAGACAAAAUGGUGGCAGCAGUCACUGUAUGCUGAGGAGGCUGUGAAGCUACUGAGGUAUCAGGGGUGCUUGAGGGGGUUUCUGGGCCCUGCCAUGCUGUGGGCAUGGAGGUACCAGUCAGCAGGUGAUUGGAAGAAGAGGCAUUCGUGGAAAUCUCCCUCCUAGGUCAGAUCAACCACGGCCUCAUAGGAUGUGCAGCAUCAGGAUGAACUCUGUGAAGAAACAGCACUGAGUUGUAGUCAUAGGUGACAUCUACAGAGUUGAAAAUCCAGUCUAACUCCUGAGGCGUCACUCUUUGAGUUCAGGACUUGAUAGGAAGAUGACAAAAGCUUCAGUCAAAACUGCUUCCAUCCAAUUUUAUUCUGUUUAACUGUUGCUAAAGUACAGUAGAAAGCUGCUCAGAAGGUUUAUGCAUACAGCUUGUGUCUUUGAAAAAGCUUACUGUGUUGUCAUGUGCAAAACAGGAAAUGUGUAAUGGUUCAAACCCGGGAGAAGCUGAUCCAGGGCAAACUCUCCUGACCUCAUGAAAAACACAUCCAUCUGAACCUCACAGUGAAAUGCAAACAUACAGGCUAACCACAGAAGUUAAGAAAUAUCCUUGCCUGCAUUGUAUUGCUUUAAUGUGGAAAAUUUUAACAUGAGUAGCGGAGCAACAAGUAACACUGCCUGCAAGCUGAUGCCACCAUGAGACUGUCCUCGUGGUGAUGGUAGUGCUUUUCUCAGAAGCAAUAUCCUACUCUAAGUUGCUUUCAUUUUGCAGGUAAAGUUAUACUACUAGAUACUAUUAGUAAACACAGAGAGUAAGAAAAAUGUAAGUGCAAAGGAGAGUGGGGGGAAUGGAGAGAGAGAGAUGAUGAUGAAAGCUAACCUGAGCAGAUCCUUGGUUAUAAGUGAGUAAAUAUUUUAUCCAGAACAGACACCUUUGUCCAGAAGAUGUCAUAUCUGGAAAAUGCCAGAUCUCCUCUGAAGGCAAUCUGUGUAAACUCGCAUGUGUCAGAAUGAGUAUCAGGCAUUCUUAAAGACAAGAAAGACUUCAAACUUAUCCUGCGCAGGUAUAACAGUAGAGUCCAAAUGAUGGUCCUAGUGGUAUCUGAGGUCACAUGCUUUAUGAUAAAAGGCCCAACUUGUAUUUCUCAUUAUAUUAAAAUUAAAGGUGGAUUAUACCACUUGAAACUUGGACAGCUAUAUUCUAUUUUUCACAUAACUUACCUGUUACAAUUAUUUCUUCUGAAAAGAUGGGGAAAUACGUUCAGAGUGAGAAACCACUUAAACUCUGGGAGUCCAUAAACUACAAAGCCUACUGUGCAGAGAUGUGCUAAAUACUGUCAGACCAGUACUAAUCUCUGUUUAAAGUUCUGGUUGUUGCAGUAGUGUGCGUUUUCACCUACUGAUAAAAACAAUAUUACUUUAGGAGCCUUUCCGAUAAAUACAAUGCUGAAGUUAUUCGGUGCAACAUAAACAUUUAGCUCUGCAGUUUAGUCUGUAAACGUUUAAAAGGUUGGAAUGUUUAUCCAAAAUGGCCAGACUUCCAAAAGUGCAAAACUGUUUGCAGUGCUAACAAGGAGUAGAAAAUGAUGAGGGUUACACAUUUGAAAGAGAAGAAGACAAAAUCUGUUUUCCAUAAACUGUUAUCUUCAGGUUUUAUUUCACUUCUGAGCUUCCUUGGAAAUGGUUUGCCUGCUUUGAGUUGAUUUCAGAAAGAAUUGGUGGGGAUUAGGAUUGCUCCUGGAAUCUUAAUGUAAACCCAGGUCCCAGUGAGAGGAGGGAAAGGGACUGAUUCAGUAAAUAAUGCUUUUUCUGUAAUGCUUUCUAUAAAUGCACGCUGAUAUGUCAAGAUGAAAUAAAUAAAUAAAUAAAUAAAGGCAGCAGAGGUUGAAGAGUUGUUUCACGAGCAAUUAAGCUUAACUGCCAUGAAAAUGGUGUUUUCCUAACAUAGAGAUGUGGCUGUAACAUCUUCUUUUGUACUUCUAUGUUACGAUACUGCUAGUAAGUCUCCACCCCUAUAUGCAAAUAAACAUGAUUGUUUCUCAGUUUUUGGUUUGGUUACUUAAUGUUUCCACAGGACUUUGCUAGCCCUGGUAUACAUUAUAGUUGUAAAGGGUUUAUUUGGUGUAGUAAGUAGAACUGUUACUUCUGCCUGUUUUUUGUUUGGUUUUUUUUCCUCCCUUUGAUGCACUAAGAUGCUGAGUUCAACCUGAUCUGUAACAUGAUUUGUAUUACUGCCUGCUCUGCUGUUGAAAUCCUCUGCUAAGCCAGAAGGGAGCUGACAACUUCAUAUAGAGGUUCAGCAGCACGGAUGGUAAUGGUCCCAGCAAUGGUUGCACUAAAUUUAAUGUUUUCAUAAGUCAAAAGACAGUUUAGUUCAUGAUGUGGUGAAAGGGCAGUUGAAGGCAGGAGGAUGGCUGAUAUUACUCCAUCUUUUGAUCUGCUAAAUACUCUGCAGUGACUUUAUUUUGCCAACCUUUUUCAUUCUUGCUAUUAGUGCAGCAUUAGUUGUGCAGGGGGCACGGUCAUUACUGGAAGCCUCCGAAUAUUCGCAUCUACAAAAGUUUUGAUAGACAGUAGGAGGACUCCCUCUAUUGGCAAAUUGAUGUGUAACUGUAAAGUAAGAAUUAUUUAAGCAACUGGAUACUUGAAUUAUGUGAAGUCUCACAAAUUUGAUUGACAUAGUUGAGAAUUAAAUAAAACAGCCACAAUCAGCAGCUGAACUGUAAAUUUUGACAUCUCCUGUAACGCUGGUCUGUGUACAUCUGAGUGUCACAUACAAUCUUCUCUCUCCAGUCUUUUUCUUCAUUCCCUAAUGUAGGUUUAUAUUAAAAUUGAAGAAUGAUGAAAUGCCAGUUGCUUAUAUUUUGAGGGUGUUUAAUACUUAGACAGGUGAAAUAGUACAACUAAAGGAAAAACAAAACGUUUUUCUCUUUUACCAGAAGAGGGCUCUGACUCACAGUGUCAUGUAUUUUAAUAGGCUGGGGGUCAGAAUCUUGACUGUUGCCACUGCUCUCUCGUUUCUCUGCUCUUUGAGCUCUGUUAUCGUUUGAGUUAAUUGCUUGAUUCUUUUAUUAUUGUUGUUGUUAUUUACACGGUAGCUACUAGAGCACUUCGUUCAGGUUUUGUUUUUUUUUUUUCAUGUUACUUUUAAACAGGAAAAUGAAAGUCCAUUGUGGGCUGGGAGUGCAAAAAGGUUGAGGCUGACUGUAGCUAUCUGAGUUGGAGAGAGAAAACUCCUUGGCAGCUGUAAGCCACCAUCCUGCCUGUGUCCUGCACUCAUAGCCCUGGUGGCCAAGAGAGCCCUAAGUGGAAGGGCUCUGCACAAUGCAGUUGGGCUGUGCUGCUCCCUCGCCAGCAGGCAACUCUUGCUUUCUGUGCUUUGAAGGAAAGAAGCAUCUACUGAUUGAACCUAGUAGCUAAUAGAGGAUGCACGUUAGAAAAAGUCUAACUUUAGUACUGAAUUUCUUUUCUUCCCUUUAAACAAUUACUGCCUCGUCACUGUCAGUACUGAGAGCACAAAACUGAUUUUUCUUUAGUUCCAGUUAAAUAUCGUGUGUUGCAGCUCUCUGAUGAGCUAGGCCAUGGUUAGAGUGCUGACCUGAGGAGGAUGAGACAUCUACGAAAGGCAAUCUUUCAGUACUUUCUUUUCUUACAAAAAUAUUUCGAGCAAUCUAAGGUAAAAGAUCCUCUGUACUAAAGAUGGUUUGAAUGACAUGGUUUUGCCUGAAUGUAGGAAUGCAUCCUUACUCACUGCUUGUGAAUUUGUUAUUACUCAUACUUAACAUUAACCCAAAAUAUUUGUGUGAAUAGGUCACAUAAUUGACAUCUUAAGAAUAAAAGGAUGCUCACCAAGAAUAGUCAUGCUUUGGGGCUUAUUGUGACUAUUUAUCUUCGCACAGAAGAUUUUUCGGAGCUUGAUUUUGGGAGGAUAUCUUCCAAAGGGUAGGAUUUCACCCGAUAUGGCUUCUAACAUCUAAUUUCUCAUUCUCAUCUACCAUCUCUCUCUGAUAAUUCUUUUCCUUCAGAGUAGGAGAUAAUAUAUCUAUGCGUCUAGAGAUACUUAUACAGAUCUGACCUUUAUGUUUUCUGAUGAAUGUUUAGAAUUUAAAUUGCUUGGCUGGUGGAAUGUUUUGCCCCUUCCUCAUGAGAGCAGGUUUUCUCUGUUUGUGAGACCUAUUAUAAGUAAUAUAUGGUCAUAUCCUAGCAGAAAAUCUGAUUUUGCUUUAUUUGAACUAAAACUUAAAACAUCAUGUCCAGUGCUAACUGAUUUCCAAAGCUGAACUGGUUACGUAAGAAUAAUAAAUAACAUCCUGCUCAGUAUAAAUAAAGGAUAAAUCUACCCAAACAAGAUAUAAUUCAUUUUGGUGAUGCUUUCCAAAAUAAGGCACAUCAACCUCCUGUAUCUGAAUUUCAUUGUUUUAUAGCUGCUUUUAUGGGAGAAGCACAGGAGGUAAGUACAUGUUAGAGAGAGCUCAGAGCACAGAUUCGGUUUCCUUAUAGCAAGAUGUUCAUAAUCUCUAGUAAAGGAAUGUUCAUAUAUUAGACAUCUGCAACACUUAAUCUCACUUCUAGGUUUCUUAACUUCAUGUCUCUUUCUCCCAUAAUGCCUCUUGGCACAGUACGCACCUAAUAUUUGAACCAAACUGACUUAAUAUUUUUAGUGCUACCUGUGUACAUGUGCAUAUAUCUAUAAAUCCAUAGAUAUAUAUAGAUACAUACAAAUGGAAAAAAAAGUCUGAAGUUUUCUGGGAUUUUUUAGUAUUUUUCCGUUGCUAUACUGAGAAAUUAUUUUGAUAAGGACUGUCUCCUGUCAUGUAUUAUAUCAGGUUGAGUAGGCUAUCAAAUUUCAAUAUAGGAAAUAACUCUGUAAGUGAAGAAAUAGUGUGUAUAAUGAUUUUUCUGCAGAGAAUGAGAGAAUAGAAUUUACUAUACUGGGACGUAUCAUUCAUAGAGUCCUGUGGCUUGUUCUGACAGAGGCAGUAGUGUAGACUGACAAGAUGUGAACAGCAUAGCAACAUGCUUCAGUAUAUGAAUACAUGGCUGUAUAUGUAUAAAACACAGCAAAAGGAGAUUUUUUUUCCUUUUUCUCUGUAGUGAUAUAAGUAAUGGUAAAACAGAUUUUUUAUUUUUAUUUUUUAUUUAUUUAUUGUAGGCCAUGAAAAGGUAUCAAUCAAAAUGCUUAAUGGGUAAUGCAGAAUGGGUACGAUGUUAAUGCGCAUAUUCAAAACAUGCAUUCAGAGUCCUGUGAUCAGAUCCUGAAAUAUUUGAGGAACUUGAUGGACUGUAGGUUUCUUAAAUUAUUUAAAUUAGGGCUAAUGCAAGUUUAAACUGUAUCCUGGAAAGCAAAUGGGAAGUCACUGCCAGACAGUAAUAUUUCUGCAAUCUUUUUAAUUCAAUAAUCAGACUGAACUGAGUAAUCAGAUGUGCAAACCAUGACAGAGAAUCAAUCAAUAAUGUCUAAGAGUAUACUGGAAAAAGGAAUCACCAACUUAGUCUAUAUUAUUCUCUCCUAGUCACUCACAAAAAAAAGAUUUAGUCUCAGAUGCAAUCAAGGAUGUCACUAAAUGCAGUCUCGUGAGCUUCAGUUGAUCUUUGAAGGAAUAAAAUUUCUUGUCUGCAUAACUCUAUUCUUUUAUCACAUGCAAAUUUAGAUCAAUCAAGUAUCUUCCAUAAUUUAGGGCUGACUUCUGGGAGCACGUGAGUUUUAAAUACAGAUAAGUCCUCUACUUUUCUAAUGAGGAAAAAACUGAGGAUGUGCAAUAUACGGAAUUAAAAUUAGUUUGUGUUUUACUUUUCUCACAUGCUUUUCCACAUAUUCUUACUAUGAAAUGGCUGUUGAAAGUAUAUUCAGUAAAGCAAAAGAAAUAUUACAGUGUUCUUUUUUUUUUAAAAGGAAGUAACUCUACAUCUAAGAAUAGACUAAGCAGUCUAUUUCAUUCUAUCUAUUUCAUAUCUGUUAUCACACAGAAAAAAUACCCAGGUGGCUGUGUGAAAACUCAGUGUAUAUUUUUGCAGAAAUAAUUUGGUUUGCAUGUGAAAGCAAUUCCUUUAAAACACAUUCUUUUGUAUGCUCUUUAGUGUAUUAGUAAAAGGACACACUGCUGUCCAAAUUUGAGCCAUUGUGAUAAAAAAACAAACUGAUUUCAUUAUAUUUGUUCUUUUGUUCUAUUUUGUUAUUGUUGUUGUUUCUUCCCCCUUCCCCUCCCCUUCCCCCCCCACCGUAUACUCAAAUCCUAAUCACAAAACAGGUAAGCAGAUCACUAACUGUACCAGAAAAGCAAAGAAGGACCAGUAAGAGGAUGAAGCUAUGGUGAACAGCCAAUCUCAGCUUUUUAAGGAUUCCAUAAGGUAGUAAUGUGAAUCAGCAAAGAAUUGUUAAUAUUCCUUCAGAAAAUAAGUUUAUCUCAUAAUUUCAGACUGUUUGUCCAGUCACACAAUCACAGAAUUGCAUGGGUUGCAUUAAAGAAAUUCUUCCACAUGUUGGUACGGAAGUUUUUAUAUUCCAGUUUUAGGCUACUGCUCCUUGUUCUACCACUACACACCGAGAAGUUCCUGGCCUCAUCUAUUUGCCUCCCGCCUCCCUUUAGAUUUUUAUUAAUAUUAAACAGUCCUCUAACAAGUUCACAGUCCAAAAUUUUGGCAGAGUUCAGCUGGAUCUCUAUUUCUCUUUUUCAAUUGUGUUUCUGGAAAUCUUUCAGGAUUAAUUACUGAUGAUUCUCUAUAAGACAAAUAAAAAGGAAAUAAUUUAGUAGCAUAUUUGAAGAAAAACAAUUCUGAUAAUUUUUUCAAAUUAAAUGCAUCAGUCCACCAAUACUUACUUCAAUUUGAUUGUUCUAAUUCCAUGAGAUUGCUUGUUUCUUUGUUGUGUUUUGUUUUGGUAACCUUCAGGACUGAUAGAUCAUCUUUGAACUGAGACAGAAAGGUGGACAGAAACAAAUUUAUCCAUUAUUCUAUUCAAAUCACUAAUGCUAAAAAUUAAACAUAUGAGAUAUCUAGCCUUGAGUCCCUAGUCAUUCACAAAAAUCAAGCUUUAAUAUGAAUAAAAGCUACAGAGCAUUACCUGAAGCCUAAGCGUUACUUUUAGACAGCAUGAAUCACAAAAACAAGAGGCUCUUUACCUUUGUCUCUAAUAUAUAUAUGAGAAAUGUUAAAAUGACCAAUCUUAUUUACGGGUCAUGCGUUGAAUUAUUUAGUAGUUAUCACUCUCUUCCAAUCAAGUUGAAUGCUUCAGGUAUGGCUUGAGGCGGCUGAACUUAGUUGUAAAAUAUUUGUGAUAUUUUCCUUCUAGAAAGUAAGAAGGAGAAAAGAGGUUUACUGAACCAGAAAGUAUCUAUUGUAUUUCUAUUGCAGAUGUUUUUAGCUAAGCAGUGGAAAUUGAGAAAUGUUGGGCUUGUCUAGAUGGGGGCUUGAAGUAGAGGUGCUUGCUGUUGGUCCCUGUGUUGUUUAAGAGCAUGGUAUUCACUUGGGAUGGAGAAUCAAGUUCUAACUCUUCUCGGCCUUUCUCGGAGUAAAAAAAUCUUUGGUCUCCCGAUUCAUGCAGCAAAUAUUCUCAGCUUCUAGUGUGUGUAGAUACUUAAACAUACAUAAAAUGUCUCUGCAAAAGUGAAUAUUUCAAAAAUGCUUGAAGAAUGUUGUUCUUUUUCAAAUCAAAUAUGAUUUGAUUUGUAUUUGGCAGUAAAUUUGGCUCCUAAAAACUAAAUGUUUCAGUGAAUAAUCCUUGGUGGUUUUCUUUCUAUGGGAAUAUGCCCAGCUAUGUGUGAAAUCCUAAGAUUAUGGCAAAUUUUUGACCUGCAGUUGAAGAUACUCCAAAAUCAUAAGUGACUUAUGAACAUUUUAGACUUCGGUGGAGUAUACACAAAACAAGAGGAUGUAUAACUGAAUGAGCAUCUUGCACAGCAAGCUUUUUAUUCAGGCUGCUUGUAAGAGAGGCCUUAAGUGGCCACUUAAGAGAUAGGAGGAAAGUGGAUUUGUAAUGUAAGAACUACUACACACACAGUAAUGUUAUUGAAAAAUUAAUCACCUCUGGGAAUUUCUAUUUUUUAUGACUUAUUCUGAAAAGAAUAAUUUCCUUUUGUUUUCUAAGCAGAAAGCUUUCCUGAUGUUACACAUGUGCUGAAGUCAUGAAAACUUCUAAAAUUUUACUUUUAACUUGUACUUGCUAGUAAUGAACGUGAUGCUGUAUAAAGAUGCAUUUAUUAUUCUAAGUACCAGUUAGGUGACUGGUUUGCUUUCAUAAAUCAGUGUGCUGUUCUUUAAAAGAUUUAAUAAUGGCUGGCUAGUUAAACUCUGAAGCUUUUACUAGUACUGACAAUGAAUCAUAUAAUCAUAGAACUGAUCAGGCUGGAAAAGACCCUAAAGAUCACCAAGUCCAACCACAACCUGACCGUAUUACCCUAACUCUAACAACCCUCUACUAAAUCAUGUCCCUGAGUACCACAUCCAAAUGGUUUUUAAACACAUUCAGGGAUGGUGACUUAACCACCUCCCUGGGGAACCUAUUCCAGUGCUUAACAACCCUUCCUUUAAAGAAGUUUUUCCUGACGUCCAACCUUAACUUAACCUGAAGCAACUUGAGGCCAUUUCCCCUCGUCCUGUCACCUGUCACCAGUGAGAAGAGACCAACCCCACUCUCACUGCAAUCACCUUUCAGGUAUUGGAAGAGAGCAAUAAAGUCUCCCCUCAACGUCUUUUCCCCCAGACUUAACAGCUCCAGUUCCUUCAGUCUCUCCUCAUAAGGCAUAUUCUCCAAGCCCUUCACAAGCCUAGUUGCCCUUCUUUGGACCUGCUCCAGCACCUCAAUGUCCUUUCUGUGUUGAGGUGCCCAAAACUGAACACAGUACUCGAGGCGAGGCCUCACCAAUGCCGAGUACAGGGACAUAAGGUGGGAUUAGGCAACAUUGUCACCAUGCAACUAUAACAUACUUGCUUUGUAGGAAAUAUACCUAUAUAUACU